CCCGACUGCUAUCGGAUUGAGAUUUAGCCAUGCGAGUCGAACGUCCCCCUGUUGCGGGGGGCGUGGCGUACGGCUCAGUAACACGUAGUCAACCUGCCCUGGAGACAAGGACAACCCCGGGAAACUGGGAUUAAUCCUUGAUAGGUCAUCUCAUCUGGAAGGAGAGAUGGCUUAAAGGGGUACGCGGGCUUCUUCCGCGAAUCUGCUCCAGGAUGGGACUGCGUCCGAUCAGGCUGUUGGCGGGGUAAUGGCCCACCAAACCUGUAACCGGUACGGGCCUUGAGAGAGGUGGCCCGGAGAUGGACACUGAGAGAAGGGUCCAGGUCCUACGGGGCGCAGCAGGCGCGAAACCUUCGCAAUGCGCGAAAGCGUGACGAGGUUAAUCCGAGUGACUCCCGCUGAGGGGGUCUUUUGUCAGCUGUAAAUAGGCAGGCGAAUAAGGGGAGGGCAAGCCUGGUGUCAGCCGCCGCGGUAAUACCAGCUCCUCGAGUGGUCGGGGCGAUUAUUGGGCCUAAAGCAUCCGUAGCCGGUUCCGUAGGUCCUCUGUUAAAUCCAACGGCUUAACCGUUGGCCCGCAGGAGAUACCGCGGGACUAGGAGGCGGGAGAGGUGGACGGUACUCCACGUGUAGGGGUAAAAUCCUUUGAUCCGCGGAAGACCACCAGUGGCGAAGGCGGUCCGCCAGAACGCGCUCGACGGUGAGGGAUGAAAGCUGGGGGAGCGAACCGGAUUAGAUACCCGGGUAGUCCCAGCCGUAAACGAUGCUAGCUAGAUGAUUCAUUCGCAAGUCGCGAAUGAAGUGUCGCAGGGAAGCCGUUAAGCUAGCCGCCUGGGGAGUACGGUCGCAAGACU
RNAcentral lists this ribosomal RNA (851 nucleotides) under uncultured crenarchaeote. Its description in RNAcentral is "bacterial SSU rRNA". It matches the Rfam family "Archaeal small subunit ribosomal RNA", at positions 21 to 850 of the family's 1478-position model. Lineage: Archaea; Thermoproteati; Thermoproteota. The record is from RNAcentral.